GAUGAACGCUGGCGGCGUGCCUAAUACAUGCAAGUCGAGCGAACAGACGAGGAGCUUGCUCCUCUGACGUUAGCGGCGGACGGGUGAGUAACACGUGGAUAACCUACCUAUAAGACUGGGAUAACUUCGGGAAACCGGAGCUAAUACCGGAUAACAUGUUGAACCGCAUGGUUUAACAGUGAAAGACGGUCUUGCUGUCACUUAUAGAUGGAUCCGCGCCGCAUUAGCUAGUUGGUAAGGUAACGGCUUACCAAGGCAACGAUGCGUAGCCGACCUGAGAGGGUGAUCAGCCACACUGGAACUGAGACACGGUCCAGACUCCUACGGGAGGCAGCAGUAGGGAAUCUUCCGCAAUGGGCGGAAGCCUGACGGAGCAGCGCCGCGUGAGUGAAGAAGGUCUUCGGAUCGUAAAACUCUGUUAUUAGGGAAGAACAAAUGUGUAAGUAACUAUGCACGUCUUGACGGUACCUAAUCAGAAAGCCACGGCUAACUACGUG
RNAcentral lists this ribosomal RNA (497 nucleotides) under uncultured bacterium. RNAcentral describes it as "partial 16S ribosomal RNA". It matches the Rfam family "Bacterial small subunit ribosomal RNA", at positions 28 to 507 of the family's 1533-position model. The record is from RNAcentral.